UUGCACAAUGGGGGAAACCCUGAUGCAGCGACGCCGCGUGAACGAUGAAGCCCUUCGGGGUGUAAAGUUCUUUCGACAGGAACGAUAAUGACGGUACCUGGAGAAGAAGCUGCGGCUAACUACGUGCCAGCAGCCGCGGUAAUACGUAGGCAGCGAGCGUGGUGCGGAGUUACUGGGCGUAAAGAGUGCGUAGGCGGCGAGCCAAGUUUGGUGUGAAAACUCCCGGCUUAACCGGGAGGGUGCGCCGAAAACUGGUUGGCUGGAGUAUGGGAGAGGAAAGCGGAAUUCCUGGUGUAGCGGUGAAAUGCGUAGAUAUCAGGAGGAACACCUGCGGUGUAGACAGCUUUCUGAACCAAAACUGACGCUGAGGCACGAAAGCGUGGGUAGCAAACA
Molecule: ribosomal RNA, 393 nt
Filed under: uncultured bacterium
Lineage: Bacteria
Description: bacterial SSU rRNA
Rfam family: Bacterial small subunit ribosomal RNA
Source: RNAcentral